This 103-nucleotide microRNA precursor is filed under the name Marmota monax (woodchuck). Lineage: Eukaryota; Metazoa; Chordata; Mammalia; Rodentia; Sciuridae. The record is from RNAcentral.
AGUGGGAGUGCUGGGUCAAAUGGUAAUUCCAUUUCCUGUUUUCUAAGGAGUCAUCAUACUGCUUUCCAGAUUGCCUGCACCAAUUUGCAGUUCCACCAGCAAU